GAUGAACGCUGGCGGCGUGCCUAAUACAUGCAAGUCGAGCGAACAGACGAGGAGCUUGCUCCUCUGACGUUAGCGGCGGACGGGUGAGUAACACGUGGAUAACCUACCUAUAAGACUGGGAUAACUUCGGGAAACCGGAGCUAAUACCGGAUAACAUGUUGAACCGCAUGGUUCAACAGUGAAAGACGGUCUUGCUGUCACUUAUAGAUGGAUCCGCGCCGCAUUAGCUAGUUGGUAAGGUAACGGCUUACCAAGGCAACGAUGCGUAGCCGACCUGAGAGGGUGAUCGGCCACACUGGAACUGAGACACGGUCCAGACUCCGACGGGAGGCAGCAGUAGGGAAUCUUCCGCAAUGGGCGAAAGCCUGACGGAGCAACGCCGCGUGAGUGAUGAAGGUCUUCGGAUCGUAAAACUCUGUUAUUAGGGAAGAACAAAUGUGUAAGUAACUAUGCACGUCUUGACGGUACCUAAUCAGAAAGCCACGGCUAACUACG
This 495-nucleotide ribosomal RNA is filed under the name uncultured bacterium. RNAcentral describes it as "partial 16S ribosomal RNA". It matches the Rfam family "Bacterial small subunit ribosomal RNA", at positions 28 to 505 of the family's 1533-position model. The record is from RNAcentral.